GGGGAUAACAGGCUGAUACCGCCCAAGAGUUCACAUCGACGGCGGUGUUUGGCACCUCGAUGUCGGCUCAUCACAUCCUGGGGCUGAAGUCGGUCCCAAGGGUAUGGCUGUUCGCCAUUUAAAGUGGUACGCGAGCUGGGUUUAGAACGUCGUGAGACAGUUCGGUCCCUAUCUGCCGUGGGUGUUGAAUACUUGAGAGGAGCUGCCCCUAGUACGAGAGGACCGGGGUGGACGUAUCUCUGGUGGACCUGUUGUCGCGCCAGCGGCAUAGCAGGGUAGCUAUAUACGGAAGGGAUAACCGCUGAAUGCAUCUAAGCGGGAAGCCCCCC
Molecule: ribosomal RNA, 329 nt
Filed under: Symbiodinium sp. CCMP2430
Lineage: Eukaryota; Dinophyceae; Suessiales; Symbiodiniaceae
Description: partial Bacterial large subunit ribosomal RNA
Rfam family: Bacterial large subunit ribosomal RNA
Source: RNAcentral